This 2178-nucleotide ribosomal RNA is filed under the name Triticum aestivum (bread wheat). RNAcentral describes it as "partial small subunit ribosomal RNA". The record is from RNAcentral. Lineage: Eukaryota; Viridiplantae; Streptophyta; Magnoliopsida; Poales; Poaceae.
AUGCAGCGGCACAUCUCCUUUCGGAGUUUGAUGCGCGACGCCACGGCAUGGGCAGCAAGCCCUGUCGGUCGGCUCGCCCGCAUCGAAGUUCUGGUGACCAUCAGCUGCGGAUUUCUCACCGUGCUGGUCCUCCUCGGCUCCGGCCGCCGCGCCAGCCACAGCUCUGCCUUGCGGUUGGCUGUCUGGUCGGCUCUGAUGCUGAGUUACCAAGCCGUCUCGUACACCAUCGGGCUCAUGCAGUCCGCCUCCUUCCACAACGAGCUUAUAGUUGCAUGGGGCUGCUUCCUCCUCCUCCUCCUCGGCACCGCCGACGGCAUCGCCGCCUACAGCCUCAACGACUCGGACCAGCAAGCCCGCACCGUCCUCAACCAAGCGGUCCAGGUCAUCUACAUCUUCCUCCUCCUACUGUCCUACGUCGGCUCUCUUCCGCUCCAGCUCGAAGUCCUCCUCUCAACUCUGCUGGUGCUGAGCGUCGCCAAGCUCGGGAUGCGCGUCAGGAACUUUCUUCUCGACGGCCGAGACCGUGUCCUCACCGUGGACAACAAGCUCGUGGCCGACUAUAUGGCACGCGAGCACGGGUACAGCGGCGAGAAGUACGACGCCACCACCAUGGAAGGUUACAAGUACGUGGUCGCCGGCGAGGCGGCGGAGCUUCACGAUGGAGAAACGGACUACUGGGCGAUCGAUCCCGAGACCAAUCCUGACCUUGUCACGGUCGAGAGGGUGUGGCAGUGCCAGGGGCGUCUGCUGAGUUCGGAUGUGGAUGGCGGCGAGACGAUGCCGGCGGCGCUUAAGCACAAGGAUCUGUGCCUUUCCUUCGCGCUGUUCAAGCUUCUCCGGCGGCGGCUCGGUCGGUACCCACUCCACGAGUCAUGCCUCAACAAGACAAGGGACUUGGUCAAGCUGGGCCUCCUCGCCGGAGACGACCACGAGAGGGUGUACCGUGUGGUGGAGGUCGAGCUGGGCUUCCUCUUCGAUUUCUACUACGCAAGGUACCGGUCGCCCAAGGAGACCCUCAUACUGGACACGCUUCUCUUCGCCACCGUUGCUGCGACGAGCCUGUGCACUCUGUUCUCGUUGGCGGCGCUUGACCACCGCGCCCAACAAAGGCAAGCCUACCCUGACACGGUCACCACCGUGUUCGACAUCUGGCUGACAAGAAUGAUGAUCGUCCUGUUCUUGAUCCUAGAGUCGCUCCAGUACUUCACGCUGGUGUUCUCGGACUGGCACAAGGUGAAGGUGCUGUGCCGGUACGUGCUGAACGAGGCCUGGCACAACAGCCCCUUCCUGGAGCGAAUCCUGGCGUUCAUCUGCCGUGUCAGGCUGACACCGUACUGGAACAACUCCCUGGGGCAGCACUCGCUCUUGCACGCCUGCCACCGGUACGAGCAGGGCCGUCUGCGCCGCGUUUGGGGGCUGCAGCUCCCCGGACGGAUCGCGGGCUUCCUCAUCCGGAGCAGGAUGACGGAUCGCCGGAAGCUGCCCGCCGCGGUGAAGAGCGCCAUCUUCCUCUUCCUGAAGACCGGGAUGACGCGGAUCCAGAACGGCGAGUACACCCUGGAGAAGCAGGGGAUGCUCGGCCAUUUCUACUGGGCCAUCGCGCAGGAGAGCACCGUCCAGACCAUCAUGAUUUGGCACAUCGCCACUGCGAUAUGCGACCACAAGUCCAAGCCCAACCGCGCUGACAGCACCGACGAGGAGAAGAAGGGCCACGAGGUGGCCACCACCCUGUCGGCGUACUGCGUGUACCUCAUGUCCUCGGCGCCGGAGCUGCUGCCGGGUCACACCUACGACACGCAGCUUCUGUUCCAAGGCGUGCAGCUCAAAGCGAGGAAACUCCUCGAAGGUUGCCGGUCCAAAGAUGACAUGUACAACAAGCUGCCGGAGCCGGAUUCCCUGUGUGGCGACGGCUACGAGGGCAUCCUCGCCGACGGCCGAAAGCUAGGGGAUGAGAUAAUGCAGAGGAUGCCAGAUGCUGUGCGCUGGAAGGUUCUCGGCGAGAUGUGGGUGGAGAUGCUGCUGUCAGUCGCGCCAUCGGAUAACGCGACCGCCCACGUCCAGAAGCUGGCGACCGGCGGCGAGCUCAUCACGCACCUGUGGGCAUUGUUGACGCACGCCGGUGUCAUCGAAAAGCCAAUGAGCCGGUACAGCGGAAGGGCCCUUGAAAUGCAGAUCUAG